This 782-nucleotide ribosomal RNA is filed under the name Klebsiella pneumoniae. Its description in RNAcentral is "partial 23S ribosomal RNA". It matches the Rfam family "Bacterial large subunit ribosomal RNA", at positions 453 to 1238 of the family's 2925-position model. The record is from RNAcentral. Lineage: Bacteria; Pseudomonadati; Pseudomonadota; Gammaproteobacteria; Enterobacterales; Enterobacteriaceae.
CCAUCCUCCAAGGCUAAAUACUCCUGACUGACCGAUAGUGAACCAGUACCGUGAGGGAAAGGCGAAAAGAACCCCGGCGAGGGGAGUGAAAAAGAACCUGAAACCGUGUACGUACAAGCAGUGGGAGCACCUUCGGGUGUGACUGCGUACCUUUUGUAUAAUGGGUCAGCGACUUAUAUUCUGUAGCAAGGUUAACCGUAUAGGGGAGCCGCAGGGAAACCGAGUCUUAACUGGGCGUUAAGUUGCAGGGUAUAGACCCGAAACCCGGUGAUCUAGCCAUGGGCAGGUUGAAGGUUGGGUAACACUAACUGGAGGACCGAACCGACUAAUGUUGAAAAAUUAGCGGAUGACUUGUGGCUGGGGGUGAAAGGCCAAUCAAACCGGGAGAUAGCUGGUUCUCCCCGAAAGCUAUUUAGGUAGCGCCUCGUGAACUCAUCUUCGGGGGUAGAGCACUGUUUCGGCUAGGGGGUCAUCCCGACUUACCAACCCGAUGCAAACUACGAAUACCGAAGAAUGUUAUCACGGGAGACACACGGCGGGUGCUAACGUCCGUCGUGAAGAGGGAAACAACCCAGACCGCCAGCUAAGGUCCCAAAGUCAUGGUUAAGUGGGAAACGAUGUGGGAAGGCACAGACAGCCAGGAUGUUGGCUUAGAAGCAGCCAUCAUUUAAAGAAAGCGUAAUAGCUCACUGGUCGAGUCGGCCUGCGCGGAAGAUGUAACGGGGCUAAACCAUGCACCGAAGCUGCGGCAGCGACACUAUGUGUUGUUGGGUAGGGGAGCG